This 547-nucleotide ribosomal RNA is filed under the name uncultured bacterium. RNAcentral's name for it is "partial 16S ribosomal RNA". It matches the Rfam family "Bacterial small subunit ribosomal RNA", at positions 359 to 917 of the family's 1533-position model. The record is from RNAcentral.
GGGNUUUGCGCAUGGGGGNAANCCCUGNCGCACAACGCCGCGUGGAGGAUGAAGGCCCUUGGGUCGUAAACUCCUUUCGACCGGGAAAAUGAUGAUGGUACCGGUGGAAGAACGCACCGGCAUAACUCUGUGCCAGCAGCCGCGGUAAUACAGAGGGUGCGACGCUGUUGUUCGCGAAUUAUUGGGCGUAAAGGGCGCGUAGGCGGUGCGGUAAGUCACCUGUGAAAUCCCCAGGCUUAACUUGGGGUCUGCANGCGAAACUACCGUGCUGGAGGGUGGGAGAGGUGCGUGGAAUUCCCGGUGUANCGGUGAAAUGCGUAGAUAUCGGGAGGAACACCUGUGGCGAAAGCGGCGCACUGGACCACUUCUGACGCUGAGGCGCGAAAGCCGGGGGAGCAAACAGGAUUANAUACCCUGGUAGUCCCGGNCCUAAACNAUGAUUGCUUGGUGUGAUCGGUACCCAAUCCGAUUGUGCCGCANNUAACGCGAUAAGCAAUCCGCCUGGGGAGUACCNGUCGCAAGGCUGAAACUCAAAAGAAUUGACGGA